This 183-nucleotide ribosomal RNA is filed under the name Allobrachymonas denitrificans. RNAcentral's name for it is "Brachymonas denitrificans partial 16S rRNA". It matches the Rfam family "Bacterial small subunit ribosomal RNA", at positions 345 to 520 of the family's 1533-position model. Lineage: Bacteria; Pseudomonadati; Pseudomonadota; Betaproteobacteria; Burkholderiales; Comamonadaceae. The record is from RNAcentral.
GAGGCAGCAGUGGGGAAUUUUGGACAAUGGACGCAAGUCUGAUCCAGCAAUGCCGCGUGCAGGACGAAGGCUUCGGGUUGUAAACUGCUUUUGUACAGAACGAAAAGGCUCUGGUUAAUACCUGGGGCUCAUGACGGUACUGUAAGAAUAAGCACCGGCUAUACUACGUGCCAGCAGCCGCGG